GCGGGUAUAGCAUAGUGGUAAUGCAGAAGCCUUCCAAGCUUAGGAUGAGAGUUCGAUUCUCUCUGCCCGCUCCA
This 74-nucleotide transfer RNA is filed under the name Sulfitobacter litoralis. RNAcentral describes it as "tRNA-Gly". It matches the Rfam family "tRNA". From Rfam's summary of the family: Transfer RNA (tRNA) molecules are approximately 80 nucleotides in length. Their secondary structure includes four short double-helical elements and three loops (D, anti-codon, and T loops). Lineage: Bacteria; Pseudomonadati; Pseudomonadota; Alphaproteobacteria; Rhodobacterales; Roseobacteraceae. RNAcentral also lists the same sequence under 1 other name. The record is from RNAcentral.